Molecule: ribosomal RNA, 433 nt
Filed under: uncultured bacterium
Lineage: Bacteria
Description: partial 16S ribosomal RNA
Rfam family: Bacterial small subunit ribosomal RNA
Source: RNAcentral
AACGAACGCUGGCGGCAUGCCUAACACAUGCAAGUCGAACGAGACCUUCGGGUCUAGUGGCGCACGGGUGCGUAACGCGUGGGAACCUGCCCUUAGGUUCGGAAUAACUCCCCGAAAGGGGUGCUAAUACCGGAUAAUGUCUUCGGACCAAAGAUUUAUCGCCUUUGGAUGGGCCCGCGUUGGAUUAGCUAGUUGGUAGGGUAAAAGCCUACCAAGGCGACGAUCCAUAGCUGGUCUGAGAGGAUGAUCAGCCACACUGGGACUGAGACACGGCCCAGACACACAGGGGAGGGAGGAGUGGGGAAUUGAGAAAAAGGGGAAAAAGCUGAAUCCCCAACGGCCGCGGGAGGGAAAAAGCCUUUAGGGUAAAAACCUUUUUUCCCCCGGGAGAAUAAGGACAGUCCGGGAAAAAAAAACCCGGACACCCCCCGUC